This 484-nucleotide ribosomal RNA is filed under the name Amanita sp. 'albemarlensis'. RNAcentral's name for it is "eukaryotic LSU rRNA". It matches the Rfam family "Eukaryotic large subunit ribosomal RNA", at positions 1 to 464 of the family's 3401-position model. The record is from RNAcentral. Lineage: Eukaryota; Fungi; Basidiomycota; Agaricomycetes; Agaricales; Amanitaceae.
UCUGACCUCAAAUCAGGUAGGAUUACCCGCUGAACUUAAGCAUAUCAAUAAGCGGAGGAAAAGAAACUAACAAGGAUUCCCUUAGUAACUGCGAGUGAAGUGGGAAAAGCUCAAAUUUAAAAUCUGGCAGUCUGAUUUUAUAUCUUUGGCUGUCCGAGUUGUAAUCUAGAGAAGUGCUACCUGUACUGGACCAUGUAUAAGUCUCCUGGGAUGGAGCAUCAUAGAGGGUGAGAAUCCCGUCUUUGACAUGGACUGCCAGUGUGUUGUGGUGUACUUUCAAAGAGUCGAGUUGUUUGGGAAUGCAGCUCUAAAUGGGUGGUAAACUCCAUCUAAAGCUAAAUAUUGGCGAGAGACCGAUAGCGAACAAGUACCGUGAGGGAAAGAUGAAAAGUACUUUGGAAAGAGAGUUAAACAGUAUGUGAAAUUGUUGAAAGGGAAACACUUGAUGUCAGUUGUGUUAGCUAGGGAUCAGCCCAGCUUUUUU